Molecule: ribosomal RNA, 256 nt
Filed under: Helicobacter pylori
Lineage: Bacteria; Pseudomonadati; Campylobacterota; Epsilonproteobacteria; Campylobacterales; Helicobacteraceae
Description: partial 23S ribosomal RNA
Rfam family: Bacterial large subunit ribosomal RNA
Source: RNAcentral
GCCGUAACUAUAACGGUCCUAAGGUAGCGAAAUUCCUUGUCGGUUAAAUACCGACCUGCAUGAAUGGCGUAACGAGAUGGGAGCUGUCUCAACCAGAGAUUCAGUGAAAUUGUAGUGGAGGUGAAAAUUCCUCCUACCCGCGGCAAGACGGAAAGACCCCGUGGACCUUUACUACAACUUAGCACUGCUAAUGGGAAUAUCAUGCGCAGGAUAGGUGGGAGGCUUUGAAGUAAGGGCUUUGGCUCUUAUGGAGUCA